AUUCAGGGGUGCUCAACCACUGAGCCCCAGCCCCAGCCCUUUUUUUUUAAAUCUAUUUUGAGUUAGGGUCUUGCCAAGUUGCUUAGGGCCUUGCUAAGUUACUGAGGCUGAGGCUGGCUUUGGACUUAUGAUCAUUCUCCUUCAGCCUCCCGAGCUGCUGGGAUUAUAGGCAUGCACCACCAUGCCUGGCUGGUUACCUUUUUUGGGGGGAAUAGGAGAUGGUUGGUAGUAUAGAUCUACAUAGUUCCAUGAUAGUGGCUGAAAAGUUGAUCAACUGACAAGAGAUAUAGAAAGACUAUUAGAAAAUUGGGGACAAGCAGUACUGGGGAGACAUGUGGGUAGACACACCCUGUCCAGUGUGUUCCAGGAGUACUCACUACUGAGGAGAUGAUCACUAAUUAAGUGAACAAAAUGAUUCUUCCUGUGAUGGAUGUCAGCUUCUUUUGCUGACUUUGCUGGUGCAUGCUCAGUGGACCCAUUUACUAAGGGACAGUCCUGAUAUGGAUGGAGCAUAUCUAUAGACUUAACAACUCAGAUUUUUCCUCACCAAGGCUCAUUGCAUGCCUGGUCUACCAAUAGCAUAAGGAAAUAAUAGACCACAAGAUGAUAACAUUCCACAGAGAAACCAGCAGUUCAUCCAGUGGCUGUUUCACUAUGUUUAAUCCUUUUCAUUAUAGAGUGAACGGAAAUUUGUUCUCAUGAAGAUGAAUACUUAACAGCAUAUGGAUUUGUCUUAUCUGCUUUUAGUGUUUCUGUCCACAUAGUCACUCAUGAACCUUUAGAAAACCUAACUCAUCACUAUGGCAUCACACACUAUAUUACCUUCCCAGAGAAUAUAGUAUGUGGUACUUAUAGUAUGAGAUAUAGUAUAUGGUACUUUCCUUCAUAGAAAAGGAAGUGGGGGAGUGAGUUCAUCUUCACAAAACAUACUGAUCUUACAAUGUCCCCUCUCACUCAUCAAUAUCUGACUUGAUAAAAUGAAAUGAAAUGGCCUACUCAAGGAUCUGUUGUGGCACCACCGGAAUAACAACACUCAAGAGUUGGAGUGCUGUCCUACCAGAUGCACUACAUGCGUGAAAUCCUUGGCUGAUAUGUGGUGCUGUGUCACUCACACACAGAAUAAUGGGUAAAGCUGGCUGAUGGACAUCAUUGUCUAUCCUGUCUUCACAGAACAGGGCUGGGAACAAAAGGGUAAAGCUGAGAGUGGCCUCUUUCACUAUUGCACACAAAUCCUAUAUACAGAGUUACCACUUCCCAUCCCUUCAACCAUGGGCUCAAUCGACUUGGAAGUCUUAAUGUCCAAAGGAGAAAGUCCUCCAAGGAGCACAGUAAUGUUUCCACUGAAUUGCGCCUUGAGACUUACCAAGUAUUCUUUAGAGACUUAAAUUGUUAAAUUACUGUGAUUUCCUAAAACAGGUUAUAAUUUCUAUGUUCCAAAGGUUGACAUCUACCGAUAUCUGAUCAAAAUAGAACAUUUUCACAUUUUUUGUUUUCAGAUUAUUUUGUAGUAAUCAUAUUUCAUAAGUCAGAAUUCCUAGCAAAUCCAAAUGGUAUCCCACUCAGGUAGUGUGCUAUGAUGUCCUAUUAUAUGCAAUAUACCUUAAUGCUUUACUGGAUCCCAGAGAUGCCUAUAGAUAGGACAGUACAUCAUUCCAUAAUAAACAAAGUAUGAGUUGGGACCUACACUAUCAUACAUCAUAUAUAUUUAAAUGUGACUUUGAGAAGAAGACAUGAAAAAGAGAGAGAUUAGUCAGGAAAAUAAUAUAUUGGAUGAUCUUGGCUUGAAAACAAUACUGAUACUCCUUUUAACAACUUAAAUAUAAUUCACUACAGAUUUAAAACAUUGUAGUACUACACCUAUAUAAUACAAAUAAAAUAUUAAAAUGUUAUCAGUGAAUAUUGAUUUAAAAAGUAGACACUCAAUUUUUCAAUCUUGAUUGUUCAGAAGGAAACAAUUACAUAAAUGUUGUACAUUUAUCAGAAAAGGAUAUACAUACUACACCAUGAAACUUUCGAAUAUGAACAGUUUGUCAUAAUGACAGAAUCCAUGUCAUCUUUUCAUAGCAUCUUGUGGACAGCUGUUCCAAGAUGUUUGUGAAACAAAAAAUGAAUUUGAAUUUCUUCACUCCCACACACAAAGCCAAAUUAAAAUACAACCCCAACAUAUACACCCUCAGAGUGAUUGUUCUCAUAUUCUAGAGAAUUUGCACUUUAUAUCAUGUCAAAACAAAUGCAUAGCAUAUCAAAACUGAAUUUAGAAAGGUUUGAUUAUUGAUGACUCAAGUGACAUAUGUGAAUAUAAAGAUGCGGGAUGCAGAAGCAAAUCAGUCUUGAAUAGAGUAUAAAAGUUUUGCACAAGUUACAAGUUCUCUAUUUUUCUGGCUCUCCAACAAAGUAACUUACUGGAGUUUGAUAUUUCAUGUCAGUAUUGGAUUUGUGAAUUGAAUUAGGUAUAAGCACAAGUAAUGAAAGAAGGAGAUUGGAUUAUUCUUUCCUAAUAAACUUCAAAUGAUUGCUAUCAUCUGUACUUAUAAACCCAUUUCUCUUUGUUAUAUGAAUUUUCAUAUACUGGACUUUCUCCCUAGUAUUAUUUUCUAACUUCACUCUCUUGCUUCUACCUAUUCUAAUCCUGUGCAUUUUUCAAAGUUAGCUCAAUUAUGCCUCAUGCAUUCAUUUACUCAUUUACUCAAAAUAUAUUUCAUGAGUGUAAUAUGAACUCAGCAUGAUGCCUUGGAGCUGCAAUUACAAGCAAAUUACUACCCAUAUCCUCCAGAAAUCCAGGUAGACUGGAUGACAAAUAAUUGCAAUCUUUCUAUGCCUGUUCUUCUAUAAUGUCACAUUGGUCAUAUUUCAGCAGCAGGAUUGUGAGGAAUUAGAGUAUACAUGAAAACUAC
This 2894-nucleotide long non-coding RNA is filed under the name Marmota monax (woodchuck). The record is from RNAcentral. Lineage: Eukaryota; Metazoa; Chordata; Mammalia; Rodentia; Sciuridae.